Passer domesticus (house sparrow) is the source of this 347-nucleotide long non-coding RNA. RefSeq lists it as uncharacterized. The transcript has 3 exons. The record is from RefSeq and is a predicted model, not a curated record. Lineage: Eukaryota; Metazoa; Chordata; Aves; Passeriformes; Passeridae.
UGCACAUAUAUGAAGAACCCGAGCAUUAAAAUAAUGUGAAGACACUAAAAUAAAAUUAAUGUUGAGUAAUGGGGCUCUUUUAUGCAGAUAUAGGCUUCAGCAGCCUUUGGAAACCUCUGGAGCUCUCCAAAUUAGUGAACAUGGAAGGGCAAAAUUGAUGGCAAGAAGAUGCAUAUGAAAGAAAUUAUCAACCAGCGAAAGAAUAUUUGACAUGCCCAAAAGCCUGGAAUUAUAUUUAAAGACUGACCAUAUAUUAUUUUCCAUAUUCCCUGAAAGUCACUAGCUCAUCCAAGUACAACACAGAAGCAGCAGUCAGCCCUGGUAAAAUCUGGGAAGAAGCCUGGAAC